GCUCUGGUGGCUCAAUCGGAUAGACCGUUGGACUUCUAAUCCAAAGGUUGCGGGUUCAAGUCCCGCCCAGAGUA
Molecule: non-coding RNA, 74 nt
Organism: Perkinsus marinus ATCC 50983
Lineage: Eukaryota; Perkinsozoa; Perkinsida; Perkinsidae
Source: Rfam